RNAcentral lists this ribosomal RNA (428 nucleotides) under uncultured prokaryote. RNAcentral's name for it is "bacterial SSU rRNA". It matches the Rfam family "Bacterial small subunit ribosomal RNA", at positions 355 to 774 of the family's 1533-position model. The record is from RNAcentral.
UGGGGAAUAUUGCGCAAUGGGGGAAACCCUGACGCAGCGACGCCGUGUGAGGGAAGAAGGCUUUCGGGUCGUAAACCUCUGUCGGGAGGGAAGAACCUUCCAGGCCUGAAUAAGUCCUGGAACUGACGGUACCUCCAAAGGAAGCACCGGCUAACUCCGUGCCAGCAGCCGCGGUAAUACGGAGGGUGCAAGCGUUAAUCGGAAUCACUGGGCGUAAAGCGCGCGUAGGCGGUCUUUUAAGUCGGACGUGAAAGCCCUCGGCUCAACCGGGGAACUGCGUUCGAAACUGGGAGACUUGAGUCCUGGAGAGGGUGGCGGAAUUCCGGGUGUAGGAGUGAAAUCCGUAGAUAUCCGGAGGAACACCGGUGGCGAAGGCGGCCACCUGGACAGGUACUGACGCUGAGGCGCGAAAGCGUGGGGAGCAAACA